RNAcentral lists this transfer RNA (93 nucleotides) under Thermoprotei archaeon. RNAcentral describes it as "tRNA-Asn". It matches the Rfam family "tRNA". From Rfam's summary of the family: Transfer RNA (tRNA) molecules are approximately 80 nucleotides in length. Their secondary structure includes four short double-helical elements and three loops (D, anti-codon, and T loops). The record is from RNAcentral. Lineage: Archaea; Thermoproteati; Thermoproteota; Thermoprotei.
GCCGGGGUAGCUCAGCCCGGUGGAGAGAACAUCACCGAAAGCGCCCGGCUGUUAACCGGGUGGUCCGGGGUUCAAAUCCCCGCCCCGGCGCCA